This 425-nucleotide ribosomal RNA is filed under the name uncultured bacterium. Its description in RNAcentral is "partial 16S ribosomal RNA". It matches the Rfam family "Bacterial small subunit ribosomal RNA", at positions 354 to 796 of the family's 1533-position model. The record is from RNAcentral.
GUGGGGAAUCUUGCGCAAUGGGCGAAAGCCUGACGCAGCCAUGCCGCGUGAAUGAUGAAGGUCUUAGGAUUGUAAAAUUCUUUCACCGGGGACGAUAAUGACGGUACCCGGAGAAGAAGCUCCGGCUAACUUCGUGCCAGCAGCCGCGGUAAUACGAAGGGGGCUAGCGUUGCUCGGAAUUACUGGGCGUAAAGGGCGCGUAGGCGGACAGCUUAGUCAGAGGUGAGAGCCCAGGGCUCAACCUUGGAAUUGCCUUUGAUACUGGCUGUCUUGAGUUUGGGAGAGGUGAGUGGAACUCCGAGUGUAGAGGUGAAAUUCGUAGAUAUUCGGAAGAACACCAGUGGCGAAGGCGACUCACUGGCCCAAUACUGACGCUGAGGCGCGAAAGCGUGGGGAGCAAACAGGAUUAGAAACCCCUGUAGUCC